This 253-nucleotide ribosomal RNA is filed under the name uncultured bacterium. RNAcentral's name for it is "partial 16S ribosomal RNA". It matches the Rfam family "Bacterial small subunit ribosomal RNA", at positions 524 to 776 of the family's 1533-position model. The record is from RNAcentral.
UACGUAGGGUGCGUGCGUUGUCCGGAAUUAUUGGGCGUAAAGAGCUCGUAGGCGGUUUGUCGCGUCGGCCGUGAAAACUUGGGGCUUAACUCCAAGCUUGCGGUCGAUACGGGCAGACUUGAGUUCGGCAGGGGAGACUGGAAUUCCUGGUGUAGCGGUGAAAUGCGUAGAUAUCUGGAGGAACACCGGUGGCGAAGGCGGCAUCCUGGACCGACACUGACGCUGAGGCGCGAAAGCUAGGGUAGCAAACAGG